RNAcentral lists this ribosomal RNA (465 nucleotides) under uncultured bacterium. RNAcentral's name for it is "bacterial SSU rRNA". It matches the Rfam family "Bacterial small subunit ribosomal RNA", at positions 355 to 825 of the family's 1533-position model. The record is from RNAcentral.
UCGAGAAUCUUCGGCAAUGGGCGAAAGCCUGACCGAGCGAUGCCGCGUGUGGGAUGAAGGCCUUCGGGUUGUAAACCGCUGUCGUAGGGGAGAAAGGGUCGUUGAAGAAACGACUUUGAUCUAUCCUAGGAGGAAGUCCGGGCUAAGUUCGUGCCAGCAGCCGCGGUAACACGAACCGGACAAACGUUAUUCGGAAUUACUGGGCUUAAAGGGUGCGUAGGCGGUGCGGUAAGUGCGGUGUGAAAUCCCACGGCUCAACCGUGGAAUUGCGCUGCAUACUGCCGUGCUAGAGGGAGACAGGGGUAAGCGGAACUGAUGGUGGAGCGGUGAGAUGCGUUGAUAUCAUCAGGAACACCGGUGGCGAAAGCGGCUUACUGGGUCUCUUCUGACGCUGAGGCACGAAAGCUAGGGUAGCGAACGGGAUUAGAUACCCAUGUAGUCCCUGAGCGGGCUGGCAAGGCGCAU